AUGGAGCUCAGGAAGGCUAUCUGCAACAAGCUUCAGGAGGAUAAUGGUCUAACCUAUAGCCCAGAUCAUGUGCUAGCGACCAAUGGGGCUAAGCAAUGCACUACACACGCUGUUCUUGAUGUUCUCUCAUGUGGUGAUGAGGUCGGCACUGCUGUUGUCACCGGGCAGAAUGGCCGACUGGCCAUGGGCAGGCUCGGAGCCCUCUGCGAACAGGUGAAGAAGCUUAAUUUCCAGGGGUAUGAGGUGAUUCUGUUCGCCUCCGGCGCCGUUGGCAUCGGGAGGCAGAGGCUCAAGUACCGAAAGCUCAUCAACAGCCAUGUUGCAGAGAGUUUUUUCUCACAGCAGUUUACUGACGGUCAUUGCCUCUGGUUAUCGUCACUGCUUGUGUGCUGA
RNAcentral lists this ribosomal RNA (393 nucleotides) under Triticum aestivum (bread wheat). RNAcentral describes it as "partial small subunit ribosomal RNA". The record is from RNAcentral. Lineage: Eukaryota; Viridiplantae; Streptophyta; Magnoliopsida; Poales; Poaceae.